AACUAAAACAGAAAUUCCAAAUUAAAAAGUUAGAGAAAAGCUUCAUUCUACUUGACUGUGCUACUAUCAAUAGCCAGGUCAUUUUCUCCGAAAACAGUGACAAAAGGUUAGCUGUGCACGAUAUCAAUGGAUCUUUCAUUCGAGAUUUCAAACUGUCAGAAAAACUUUGUUGUAUAUCAUUAAUAAAUGAAAAUUCUGUAGUUGUCACCAACAAUAAAUCCCACAUGCAGAUAAUAAAUAUAAACACCGGACAAGUACAGGAUGAUAUUAAAACAAGCGGUGAUAGCUUCUGGGUAUUCUAUGAGAAUAAACUAUUGUAUGCUAUAUCGAUAAGAAAAUGAUGGAUGUAAUAACUCUGGAAGGGGAAGUAAUCCGAUCAUUUCAUUCUGCUGAGUCUCCUAUUUGGUACAUUGCAGCUGCUACCAAUAAUUUAUUCUUUACUGAUCACUUGCACUAUACAUUGUAUUGUUGCUACCUGUAUGGAUCAGUCAUAUGGAAGUUUACAAACGAGAAGAUGAAGCGUUCAUAUAGCGUCACAUGUGAUGGGAAUGGAAAUGCGUAUGUAGUUUGCUCAUUAUCUAACAAUGUUGUAGUGGUUUCAUCUAAUGAAAAUUCAGAAAGAUAAUCUGCGGAACCCAACGGGAGUUCAUUACGACAAAGCAGGGAACAAUCUAUUGGUGUUCAAUAGGUCGAGUGGUAAAGUAUUGCUCUAUGAAAUAAAUGAUUCAAAGCGAG
RNAcentral lists this long non-coding RNA (735 nucleotides) under Mytilus galloprovincialis (Mediterranean mussel). Lineage: Eukaryota; Metazoa; Mollusca; Bivalvia; Mytilida; Mytilidae. The record is from RNAcentral.